This 253-nucleotide ribosomal RNA is filed under the name uncultured bacterium. Its description in RNAcentral is "partial 16S ribosomal RNA". It matches the Rfam family "Bacterial small subunit ribosomal RNA", at positions 524 to 776 of the family's 1533-position model. The record is from RNAcentral.
UACGUAGGGGGCAAGCGUUGUCCGGAAUCAUUGGGCGUAAAGAGCGUGUAGGCGGCCCGGUAAGUCCGCUGUGAAAGUCCAGGGCUCAACCCUGGGAUGCCGGUGGAUGCUGUCGGGCUAGAGUACGGAAGAGGCGAGUGGAAUUCCUGGUGUAGCGGUGAAAUGCGCAGAUAUCAGGAGGAACACCAAUGGCGAAGGCAGCACUCUGGGACGUGACUGACGCUGAGACGCGAAAGCGUGGGGAGCAAACAGG